GCCUUAACUUCAUAUUCAUGAUUAACCUACUAUUUCAGAACAAUGAUGGCUCCAACUGUGACUGCCUAAACUUGUUCAGUUCCAACAACUCAACGCACUUAUUUUAAAACGAGAAAGAAUUCUAACUAACAUGCAUUGGAAACUACUAGUAAUUUACACCUUGCAGUUUACGACCAAAAGAAAACAGUUCUAGUCAAGUAUAAAUUCCACCGUCCAUAUUCUUUAUUAAAUUACAAAGAUAGACUAUACAACUAUCUAUAUUUGACUAUUGAAAUAUAGAUACAACUUAAGUACUCGACUAAUUGAACAAUUCUUUUCACUUUUAACAGCUACAUCACAGUGAUUCGAAAGUUUACCUGGUAAUAGAACAAAAGAAAAUGGUGAAUAUCAGUAGAUCAGUAGCAGAAAACAACAACAAUCAGCACAAAAAUAGGGUGACGACCAACAGAAACAAUCCCAACAACCAAACAGUCCAGAAAACCAGUGAAAUACCCAAAAUCAAACAUCAACAGAACUAGCAAAUAAAUGAAACUCCAAACCUCUUCAAGACCAACACUCAAACACUCCGAUGCAAUCAAAUAAUAACAAAAGAAGUACUGAUUUUUUAACCGUAAAAUGAGACGGAUUUCUUCAGUUUUUUUUCUCUCUAACUCUGAAAUUCUAAUGUUUAAAAUUCAGCUCUUUUCAACUUAAACUCUGAAUAUUUCUAUGUUCAAAAUCCAGCCUAAAAACUCUAUCUUAUGAAUUUUUUUCCAGUAUGGUCAAGCUCUCUAUUUUUAGAAUCUCCUCCCUUAUGCUGAAAAUGAAUCCUUAUAUCUCAAAAUCAAGACUCUAUUUUUUCCCCUUUAAUUAUUAUUACAACCCUUUUAUCAUUACCUCUUCCUUUAAUUUACAGCCCCCCGAAUAUGCUCUUCUUUGUGUGCCUUUACACUUUUAUCAUCACUUACAGUAUUCCUAAUUUCAGUUAAGCAAAAGUAGUCAACCUUUAUCAAUUGCAGUGGUCCCCUCCUACUAAUUAGUUCAAAUUAAACACAUUGGGGUCCUAUUGGCCAUCAUAAUCAGUCAAACCAUGUUUUAAUUUUAAACUUCCUAAAUUACCUUUGGGAUUCCUAUUGACUGCUACUAUUCUGAUUCAGAACAUUAGAAUACAGAAUUAAACCUUUAAAAUCUAAAACUAAUAUCUAAUCAACAGCUAUAGUCAAUCCUUAAAUGAUUCUUGAUUCAGCUUAAACCAAUGAAUCUGAAAUUAACACAUAAUCAGGCUACAAGUGUUCGUAGAACCAGUCCAGAAAUAAAGAAAAAUGGACUGAGAAUUCCAAGAAGCAGCAAUUAAUUAACUCAGCAACAAUUGAUUCAAGGUAGAGCAAACACCACUAUAACAAGAUAUAAUGAAUAAACUAUUCUAAUUAAACCUAAAUAUGAACAAGGGAGCUCUGUAAAUUUAUGGGAUAAGAAGUAGAAUAGAAUUAACUGAUAAUAAUUAAUCGACUGCAUAAUUGAAAACACAUAAUCAAUAAACAACCAACAAUCAGAAUUAAAUAGUUAUACAGAGGAUUUGACUGGUUUUGAUCAAGCAGGGAACUAACAUGAUACUAAUCAACUGACGAAGCUUAUUGAUUUGAUUACAUAAUCUAUAUUAUAUACAAAACAAACAAGCAGACAAAACAGGCCACCAGAUGAAUUUAGUUAUUUUGGACAGAACAUGGGACCUAUGAAGCUAAAUAACUCGACGACAUUAAUCAACUCGACUAUGCAAUUCGUGACAGAUAGAAUAAUUAAUAGACCAAAUAAAAGGUCAGUGAAGAAGAGAAGAUCUUUGAUAGAAUUUGAAAGAGAAAAAAUAAUACGACGAUAUGAAUGAAAAAACUAGACAAAAAUAAAAUGACCGAAGCGAGAAGAAGAUAACCUCAAAGCUCAAAAUCUAUAUGACCCAAUCUCGAAACUUGACUUCAAUCUUUUUGAGGUCAAACAGACUCUUAAUCGGUGUGUUCUCAGUUGAUAACACUUAGAUUAAGGUCUAUUAGACCUCUAUCUCCUAUUGAUUUUGAGCAUGCCCUCAAUUUCGAUUUCUAGGGUUCAUGUGGGUUCGAUUUGGGGUUCGAAUAGUUCUGGUCAAAUUUGAAUGGAGCCAAGGUGUUUUGUGGUACGAUGGAGGUCAAAGGGAGGCCUGGUGUGAAUUUGAGGGUGGUUGGUGUAGCUCUACAUUUGCCUCGAAUCUUCAAAUGAAUAUUUAAGAAGAUGGAAGAUUAUUCGAGCCAAACGGUUAACACAUUUGGGAUGGGGGUGGUCAGAUGGUCUUAUGGUGUUGGUUUGGUGGCCAUCAGAGACAGUUGAGGUUUUUAGUCAAAUCUUAAAAUUAAAAUUCGAACAGUUGGGAUUUUAUUCGAGGGUAACAGAUGGUGGAUUUGGAUUGGGAGCAAUCAGAUGGCUUAUGGGUGUUAAUUUGGUGGUGGUCGGAGACGGGGCCGCCAGGUUUGUGGUGAAGGGAUAUGGUGGCGGCGCUAGGGUUUCGUUCAUGUUUGUCUCUGAUUGAGAGAGACAAUGAACAAGAGAUGGGGGUGUUUGGUUAUGGGGGUGGGGUGAGGUCUUAGAGUUAUAUACUAG
Molecule: long non-coding RNA, 2604 nt
Filed under: Nicotiana benthamiana
Lineage: Eukaryota; Viridiplantae; Streptophyta; Magnoliopsida; Solanales; Solanaceae
Description: long non-coding RNA (NBEN_LNC006958)
Source: RNAcentral